RNAcentral lists this ribosomal RNA (112 nucleotides) under Vibrio ichthyoenteri. Its description in RNAcentral is "partial 16S ribosomal RNA". The record is from RNAcentral. Lineage: Bacteria; Pseudomonadati; Pseudomonadota; Gammaproteobacteria; Vibrionales; Vibrionaceae.
CUUAAAUUGAAGAGUUUGAUCAUGGCUCAGAUUGAACGCUGGCGGCAGGCCUAACACAUGCAAGUCGAGCGGAAACGAGUUAACUGAACCUUCGGGGAACGAUAACGGCGUC